Molecule: ribosomal RNA, 481 nt
Filed under: uncultured bacterium
Lineage: Bacteria
Description: partial 16S ribosomal RNA
Rfam family: Bacterial small subunit ribosomal RNA
Source: RNAcentral
GACGAACGCUGGCGGCGUGCUUAACACAUGCAAGUCGAACGGGAUCCGGGCUUUCGGGUUUGGUGAGAGUGGCGAACGGGUGAGUAACACGUGAGUAACCUGCCCCCUUCUUUGGGAUAACGUCGGGAAAUCGGCGCUAAUACUGGAUAUUCUUGCUGCAUCGCAUGGUGUGGUUUGGAAAGGGUUUCUGGUGGGGGAUGGGCUCGCGGCCUAUCAGCUUGUUGGUGGGGUGAUGGCCUACCAAGGCUUUGACGGGUAGCCGGCCUGAGAGGGUGUCCGGCCACACUGGGACUGAGACACGGCCCAGACUCCUACGGGAGGCAGCAGUGGGGAAUAUUGCACAAUGGGCGCAAGCCUGAUGCAGCGACGCCGCGUGAGGGAUGACGGCCUUCGGGUUGUAAACCCCUUUCAGUAUGGAACAAGGAUCCUUCGUUUGGGGGGUUUGAGGGUACGUGCAGAAGAAGCGCCGGCUAACUACGUG